Molecule: ribosomal RNA, 252 nt
Filed under: uncultured bacterium
Lineage: Bacteria
Description: partial 16S ribosomal RNA
Rfam family: Bacterial small subunit ribosomal RNA
Source: RNAcentral
UACGGAGGGUGCAAGCGUUAUCCGGAUUUACUGGGUUUAAAGGGUGCGUAGGUGGGUAGGUAAGUCAGUGGUGAAAUCUUCGAGCUUAACUCGGAAACUGCCAUUGAUACUAUUAUCUUGAAUACUUUGGAGGUAAGCGGAAUAUGUCAUGUAGCGGUGAAAUGCUUAGAUAUGACAUAGAACACCAAUUGCGAAGGCAGCUGACUACAGGGAUAUUGACACUGAGGCACGAAAGCGUGGGGAUCAAACAGG